UGUGCAUAUUUUAGAGCUUAAUCAAAUUAAAAAAUAAAGUAAAAUUACAUUCAAAUCCACUUUUAUAAAAUUUAUUUCAUAAAAUAAUCCAUUUAAAUAAAUUCAAUGUAACCCAUUACCUCUUCUACACAAGCUGCAUCUUGAUCUGAUAUAUUUCUUAAUAAAGAACACUGACCAUUUAAUUCUUAUAAAAUAAUCUAAGACGACGAUAUACAAGCUAAUAUUAAAAGUGUUGUUUAUUGUGGAGUAUCAAUUACGGAACAGGUUCCUCUGAAAAGACUAAAAUACCGCCAAAAUCUUUUGUUUUAAAGAUAAUAACUAAUAAUAACCUAGAGUAAAAUUUACAUUUUAAAUCAUC
RNAcentral lists this ribosomal RNA (358 nucleotides) under Trachys troglodytes. Its description in RNAcentral is "partial 12S ribosomal RNA". Lineage: Eukaryota; Metazoa; Arthropoda; Insecta; Coleoptera; Buprestidae. The record is from RNAcentral.